GCCAGCCAAGAAUUGCCAGUUAAAGCUGCUUACACCACCUUAAAGGAUCUAUAUGCAGAUCAGAGGCACCGCACAGCUCUGCCUGUUCCAUCUGACCAUGCUGCUCCAUUCUUGGCACAGGCUGCUGAUUGUGCUGAACUGCGCAGAAUGCCUGGUUCCCAAAGCAGGAAGAGGACAGGUGUGCACGCGCCUACGUGCAUGGCCAUCAGAGAUUUUUGCCUCAGAGGUACCAUUAGGGUCAGCUGUGGCGCCCUCUGGAGUCCUGCGCUCAUGCCGCGGUAUAUUGGGUGCUGCUGGCCCUACACCCUCUCAGUUCCUUCUUGCCGACAACUGCAACAGAGGGGCAGGAGGGCGGAAUAUGAGCAGAACAACAGUUACAAAAGGCCCAGAUCAUUGCAAAUGGACCGUACCAGAUCAAGGCUCCAUGGCACCUGCUCCGGAGACCUGCCCUUGAUGAGCCAGUCAUUGAGAUAGGGGAAGAUCUGGACCCCCCCCCCCCCAUGUUCAGCCUGGCAUCUGUUUGAUCCGAGAACAGACCAACUCCAUCAAAGGGGAGGUCCUAGAUCAAGGCCUGCAUCUCCUGGGAGAGAUCUGCCAUUUGGAGCCACAGCUGCAGCCUGACCACUGCCACCCUCCUUCCAAGGAAGCUGAAUGGGCCUUCAAUGCCAUGACUUGAAUUCUGCAUUUUAGAACCUGUGACUUUCCCCUGUUGUUAUCUGGACUGGUGAUCUGCUAGGUCACUCCAAUGCUCAACUCUGGAAGCCAGCCUUACCCUGCUCUGAUGUGAGAACCCCCACUCCCAGGCUGUUCACACACAGCCUCUAGCAUUUAAGCUGCUCCCAGAUACAUGAGUGAGAACUUUUGGCCAGCCGUUGCUUAGAUUGUGCAACCAAAUGACACUAGCCAAUAUCUCCGGCCCCAGACACAACCCUAGGAACCUCCGUCUUGCAGUGUCCAGUUAUGCCCACUGGACGCUGCAAGCUUAUAUGAGUUUGUCAAUUUAACAAAGAAAUUCAUAUGAACCAAGCUUGUUAUCCCAAGGGGAGCCUCUGACAUGCUUCAAACCAACCGCACUGCUUUAAGUAGAAUGAACAAAUGUAUUAACUACAAAAGAUAGAUUUUAAGUGAUUAUAAGUCAAAGCACAAGAAGUCAGAUUUGGUCAAUUAAAUAAAAGCAAAACACAUUCUAAGCUGAUCUUAACGCUUUCAGUACCCUUACAAACUUAGUGGCAAAGAGUCCUGUGGCACCUUAUAGACUAACAGACAUAUUGGCGCAUAAGCUUUCGUGGAUGAAUAAAUCUUAGAUGCUUCUCACUACAGGCUGGCUGGUUGC
Dermochelys coriacea (leatherback sea turtle) is the source of this 1333-nucleotide long non-coding RNA. RefSeq lists it as uncharacterized. Lineage: Eukaryota; Metazoa; Chordata; Testudines; Dermochelyidae. The transcript is spliced from 5 exons. The record is from RefSeq and is a predicted model, not a curated record.